UACGUAGGGGGCAAGCGUUGUCCGGAUUUAUUGGGCGUAAAGAGCGUGUAGGCGGCUAGGUAGGUCCGUUGUGAAAACUCGAGGCUCAACCUCGAGACGUCGAUGGAAACCAUCUGGCUAGAGUCCGGAAGAGGAGAGUGGAAUUCCUGGUGUAGCGGUGAAAUGCGUAGAUAUCUGGAGGAAUACCGGUGGCGAAGGCGGCAUCCUGGACCGGCAUUGACGCUGAUGAGCGAAAGCUAGGGGAGCAAACGGG
Molecule: ribosomal RNA, 253 nt
Filed under: uncultured bacterium
Lineage: Bacteria
Description: partial 16S ribosomal RNA
Rfam family: Bacterial small subunit ribosomal RNA
Source: RNAcentral